GGCUUAAUUUGACUCAACGCGGGAAAUCUUACCGGGUCCGGACACACUGAGGAUUGACAGGUAACGUUAUACACACAUAUAUUUACUCUCGGGUAUUUAUACUGCUGUGUAUAUAUAAAAUAUGCUAGUCCUUUCAUGAUUAUGUGAUAGGUGGUGCAUGGCCGUUCUUAGUUCGUGGAGUGAUCUGUCUGCUUAAUUGCGUUUCACUAAGGAUCUAUAUUCAUAUUACGCAUAGCAUUUUGACCCCUUUAUGCUUCGGUAUAAAGCUGCGCGUCAAACCUUGCUAUCUGCGUAUAUUAGAUCCCGAAAGCAACGAACGUGACCGCAACCUCUUGUUGCCUUUAACUAGGUUUUGCUUACGUAUAGCUUCGGCUUUACGCUUUGCAUCUAAAAAGGCUGAUUUUCUAAACUAGAGGGACCGCUGUUACUUUCUUAAACCAGAGGAAGGUUGCGGCAAUAACAGGU
Molecule: ribosomal RNA, 465 nt
Filed under: Nonionella sp. T1
Lineage: Eukaryota; Foraminifera; Rotaliida; Nonionidae
Description: SSU rRNA
Rfam family: Eukaryotic small subunit ribosomal RNA
Source: RNAcentral